RNAcentral lists this ribosomal RNA (274 nucleotides) under uncultured bacterium. Its description in RNAcentral is "partial 16S ribosomal RNA". It matches the Rfam family "Bacterial small subunit ribosomal RNA", at positions 523 to 796 of the family's 1533-position model. The record is from RNAcentral.
AUACGAAGGGGGCAAGCGUUGUUCGGAAUAACUGGGCGUAAAGCGCACGUAGGCGGAAUGUUAAGUUAGAGGUGAAAUCCCAGGGCUCAACCCUGGAACGGCCUUUAAUACUGGCAAUCUAGAGACCGAGAGAGGUGAGUGGAAUUCCGAGUGUAGAGGUGAAAGUCGUAGAUAUUCGGAGGAACACCAGUGGCGAAGGCGGCUCACUGGCUCGGUACUGACGCUGAGGUGCGAAAGCGUGGGGAGCAAACAGGAUUAGAAACCCUAGUAGUCC